RNAcentral lists this ribosomal RNA (253 nucleotides) under uncultured bacterium. Its description in RNAcentral is "partial 16S ribosomal RNA". It matches the Rfam family "Bacterial small subunit ribosomal RNA", at positions 524 to 776 of the family's 1533-position model. The record is from RNAcentral.
UACGGGGGGAGCAAGCGUUGUCCGGAUUUAUUGGGCGUAAAGAGCUCGUAGGCGGCCUGUCGCGUCGACCGUGAAAACCCGCAGCUCAACUGCGGGCUUGCGGUCGAUACGGGCAGGCUGGAGUUCGGUAGGGGAGACUGGAAUUCCUGGUGUAGCGGUGAAAUGCGCAGAUAUCAGGAGGAACACCGAUGGCGAAGGCAGCACUCUGGGACGGUACUGACGCUGAGACGCGAAAGCGUGGGGAGCAAACAGG